This 1334-nucleotide long non-coding RNA is filed under the name Eucalyptus grandis. Its description in RNAcentral is "long non-coding RNA (EGRA_LNC005198)". The record is from RNAcentral. Lineage: Eukaryota; Viridiplantae; Streptophyta; Magnoliopsida; Myrtales; Myrtaceae.
AAUUUGCUACAAUUUUAGUGAUGUCAGUGGAAACAUGUCAAUCGAGCACACAAGUCCAAAGGAGUGAUUUAGUUCACAGAGAUUCCGAUAAUUAGUAUCGCCCAUGAGCAAGCGAUGUAGUCCAGAGAAGGAAUCGAGCUUAUCUAAUGGUAAAAUGUAUAGUUUAAGUCAGUGCCUUGCUGAAAACCAAAAGCUUAAGAAUUCUAGAAUUUUCUCUAUAUUUUUAGGACCGAAGUAGCAUUUCCUAGCAAUUACCUCUUCCUUUUAUUCUCCUCCAAGCAUAGGUCUAUCAUUUGGAGGGUACUAAGGGCCUUCCUUUAUUCCUUCUACAUUUGCACGGAAGUUUCCAGGAGUUAUAUAUAUCAUCUUUGCCUUCAAACUUGAACAACAGAAACAAACCAAUCCAGAGCCCACAAAUAAGUUUCUAGUUUAGCUUAAUCUCCUUCUACUAACUCGCCCUCACAUGACACAUCAUAGCGAGCCCCGCUACAAAUGAGUAGUAGUUCCUUAUCAUUCAAUGAGCAUCUUGUAUUUUAUAAAAAUUAGGGGCAGGGAGGUUUUCGCACUAGUGGACAGAUUUUACGGUGGAGGGACAUUAGGCCAAGCGCCGAAGAAUCAAUACAAUGUCCCACAGCAGUUUGAGCACAAGGUGUAUCAAGACGCUUCCUUUUCCAGCCAUGAGAACGUAAUUGACAGCAAGAAAGAGUGUUGAUCAUGGAGUACUAUAAAAAUGAGGUUUGUUGGCUGGCGUUUUAGGUUCUAGCGCUGUCUAACUUGUAAUGUUUCAAGUAACUUAUUAGGACGUAGAAGUAACGGCUGUACUAGUCCUCGUUACAGCUUUCAUCAUGUCAGUCAUUUCGAACUCCAGUACAGUGUUUAAGUUUGCCUUUUGAUUUCCGGCUUUCUAAAGGUUAGUUGUAUACUUGGAUGUGCCUAAGCCACAUAUUGGACCUCCUUUAUACUAAACGUUCCACUUUUUACUCUCUCGUUCUGGUGAAGUUCCUGCCAAUCUAUGUUGUAAUUGUCCACUGGAUCGGUGUGAAAAGAAGACUUCAACCGUUUUUGAAGUGAAUGAUCACAAGUUAAAAAACUUGCGAAAGUUCUGGUCCAGAGACCAUCCUAGAACUAGGAGGGCAUUGGACACUGUGGUUCCAUUGCUGAGUUGCUUCUGCAUGAUUUAGCUCAUGAUCUUGAGUAAGAUUCGACAAAGGCUGGCGAAGCAGAAAAUUCCAGUUACGCAUCGGCUGUAAAUCUAGCAGGCGUCUGCAACGUGUAAAUACAAAGAUGGACCAUUCUUUGACUUUUUGGUGCAAUUGCAUUCUUUUUCCUGUCUA